RNA transcript from Solanum dulcamara, 1225 nucleotides. RefSeq lists it as uncharacterized. The transcript has 4 exons. The record is from RefSeq and is a predicted model, not a curated record. NCBI's taxonomy places the organism in Eukaryota, Viridiplantae, Streptophyta, Magnoliopsida, Solanales, Solanaceae.
AAACAGAAUCAGGACUCCCCUGAAUUCCAAACUAUUUAACCCCUUUUGCUCUAACUCCCUUUCUUUCAUUCAGUGAAAAGAAAUGGAUCUUCAAGAGUGGGAACUUCUUUCUGAUAAUGGACUUCUUGAAGUACUCCAUGAUAAAAAAGACAAUUUUUUGUCUAGGGAUCAUGCUUCUGAUUCCAAAAGAGUGCCAAAUAAACUAGUAAUUCCAUUACUAAUUCAGCAAGAGCCAAGUAUACAAAAACCUCAAGAAGAUGUUGAGGUUAUUAAAGAAGUUAUCACUAAGGUUCCAAUUGAGGAAGCAACUCUAGUGCAAGAUGAGGAAGAUAAAGUGUCACAAGUUUUUUUCAAGAAAAUGAAGGAAAGUGAAUUUGAAAACAUGAAACUGGAUUCACCCAAGUUCAGUAACAAGACUACUUCUGUGUCUCAAAUUGAUUCAAUGAAUUUCCCCUUUGAGGAUGAAGUUGAAGUCUUGGAGGUUGAAAAAGAGAGUGAGAUCAAGAAAAAGGAUAUUAAUGAAGAGAACAAUAUAAAUGGUGGAAUUCACCUAUGGAAAUGGAGAUUGACUGGAGUUGGUGCUAUUUGUUCCUUUGGGGUUGCAGCAGCUGCUGCUGCUGCUGCAAUUUGCAUCUUCAUUGGAAAUCAUCAAAAACAGAAACAGCAUAAGCAGAAUCAGAAGCUUAAAUUCCAAUUUUCUGAUGACAAGGUCAGUGAAGCCUGAGCAGGCACAAAGAAAGAAAGAUCAAGCACUUCAAAGAUGAAAUGAAAAGAUGAGGUGCCUUGGGCACCCCGUUUAGAAAGAAGGGUGAAGGUUUGGGGCAUUUAGUCUCCCCUGUCCCCCUUCAUCGGGCCGUGCUUAUGUGGAGGGUGUGCUACCAGAAAUCGGGCUUGAAGCUCACCUUAACCAACAAGCUGAGAGCUGCCAAUGAACAGACAACUUUUAUGUCAGACUCCACUAAUACCAUGAAUUUAUAAGCCUUAGUGGUAUUCACCCUUAUGUGUGAGAUCCAUAAAUAGUCAAAUCAGUAGCGUGACCACAUAUAGCGAACGGUGUUUAGUUGAACACCCUGGAAAUUAUACUUGAAAAUGAAGCAAGUGGUUCAGCAGCCUGCAACAAAAUUGAAUGAAGCAAUUUGUGGAGUAAGAGUAUCAGUUCCUAUAACGAAACGCAUCACAGACGUUGAAGGAUUAAUUUUACGCUCCUUAGAACAUAUUCAAGACU